RNAcentral lists this ribosomal RNA (593 nucleotides) under uncultured fungus. Its description in RNAcentral is "eukaryotic LSU rRNA". It matches the Rfam family "Eukaryotic large subunit ribosomal RNA", at positions 40 to 647 of the family's 3401-position model. Lineage: Eukaryota; Fungi. The record is from RNAcentral.
AUAUCAAUAAGCGGAGGAAAAGAAACCAACAGGGAUUGCCUCAGUAACGGCGAGUGAAGCGGCAAAAGCUCAAAUUUGAAAUCUGGCUCUUUCAGGGUCCGAGUUGUAAUUUGUAGAAGAUGCUUCGGGUGUGGUCCCGGUCUAAGUUCCUUGGAACAGGACGUCAUAGAGGGUGAGAAUCCCGUAUGUGACUGGGUACCUACGCUCAUGUGAAGCUCUUUCGACGAGUCGAGUUGUUUGGGAAUGCAGCUCAAAAUGGGUGGUAAAUUUCAUCUAAAGCUAAAUAUUGGCCAGAGACCGAUAGCGCACAAGUAGAGUGAUCGAAAGAUGAAAAGCACUUUGGAAAGAGAGUUAAACAGUACGUGAAAUUGUUGAAAGGGAAGCGCUUGCAAUCAGACUUGCGCCUAGUUGAUCAUCCGGGCUUCUGCCCGGUGCACUCGAUUAGGCUCAGGCCAGCAUCGGUUUGGGUGGUUGGAUAAAGGCUUGGGGAACGUAGCCUCCUUCGGGGGGUGUUAUAGCCCCAGGUGCAAUGCAGCCCACCUGGACCGAGGACCGCGCUUCGGCUAGGAUGCUGGCGUAAUGGUUGUAAGCGG